RNAcentral lists this ribosomal RNA (164 nucleotides) under Quercus ilex. Its description in RNAcentral is "5.8S ribosomal RNA". It matches the Rfam family "5.8S ribosomal RNA". Rfam says of the family: 5.8S ribosomal RNA (5.8S rRNA) is a component of the large subunit of the eukaryotic ribosome. Lineage: Eukaryota; Viridiplantae; Streptophyta; Magnoliopsida; Fagales; Fagaceae. The record is from RNAcentral.
AAAACGACUCUCGGCAACGGAUAUCUAGGCUCUCGCAUCGAUGAAGAACGUAGCGAAAUGCGAUACUUGGUGUGAAUUGCAGAAUCCCGCGAAUCAUCGAGUUUUUGAACGCAAGUUGCGCCCGAAGCCAUUCGGCCGAGGGCACGUCUGCCUGGAUGUCACGC